RNAcentral lists this ribosomal RNA (649 nucleotides) under uncultured bacterium. RNAcentral describes it as "bacterial SSU rRNA". It matches the Rfam family "Bacterial small subunit ribosomal RNA", at positions 8 to 651 of the family's 1533-position model. The record is from RNAcentral.
AGAGUUUGAUCCUGGCUCAGGACGAACGCUGGCGGCGUGCUUAACACAUGCAAGUCUACGAGAAAGUGUCUUUCGGGAUGCGAGUAAAGUGGCGCACGGGUGAGUAACACGUAAGCAAUCUACCCUUAGGCCUGGGAUAACCCCGAGAAAUCGGGGCUAAUACCGGAUGAUGCAGCGGCACCGCAUGGUGAUGUUGUUAAAGUCUAUAUGGCGUCUAGGGAUGAGCUUGCGUCUGAUUAGCUUGUUGGUGAGGUAACGGCUCACCAAGGCUGCGAUCAGUAGCUGGUCUGAGAGGAUGAUCAGCCACACUGGAACUGAGACACGGUCCAGACUCCUACGGGAGGCAGCAGUGAGGAAUAUUGGGCAAUGGGCGAAAGCCUGACCCAGCAACGCCGCGUGGAGGAUGAAUGUCGUAAGAUUGUAAACUCCUGUUAGAGGGGAAGAAUAAUUCCGAUCGAAUCGGAACUUGACUGUACCCUCAGAGAAAGCUCCGGCUAACUACGUGCCAGCAGCCGCGGUAAUACGUAGGGAGCAAGCGUUGUCCGGAUUUACUGGGUGUAAAGGGCGCGCAGGCGGGUCAGUAAGUCAGAGGUGAAAUCCUACAGCUCAACUGUAGAACUGCCUUUGAUACUGCUGAUCUUGAGUAUGG